Molecule: ribosomal RNA, 1394 nt
Filed under: Escherichia coli
Lineage: Bacteria; Pseudomonadati; Pseudomonadota; Gammaproteobacteria; Enterobacterales; Enterobacteriaceae
Description: partial 23S ribosomal RNA
Rfam family: Bacterial large subunit ribosomal RNA
Source: RNAcentral
GGGAAACAGGUUAAUAUUCCUGUACUUGGUGUUACUGCGAAGGGGGGACGGAGAAGGCUAUGUUGGCCGGGCGACGGUUGUCCCGGUUUAAGCGUGUAGGCUGGUUUUCCAGGCAAAUCCGGAAAAUCAAGGCUGAGGCGUGAUGACGAGGCACUACGGUGCUGAAGCAACAAAUGCCCUGCUUCCAGGAAAAGCCUCUAAGCAUCAGGUAACAUCAAAUCGUACCCCAAACCGACACAGGUGGUCAGGUAGAGAAUACCAAGGCGCUUGAGAGAACUCGGGUGAAGGAACUAGGCAAAAUGGUGCCGUAACUUCGGGAGAAGGCACGCUGAUAUGUAGGUGAAGCGACUUGCUCGUGGAGCUGAAAUCAGUCGAAGAUACCAGCUGGCUGCAACUGUUUAUUAAAAACACAGCACUGUGCAAACACGAAAGUGGACGUAUACGGUGUGACGCCUGCCCGGUGCCGGAAGGUUAAUUGAUGGGGUUAGCGGUAACGCGAAGCUCUUGAUCGAAGCCCCGGUAAACGGCGGCCGUAACUAUAACGGUCCUAAGGUAGCGAAAUUCCUUGUCGGGUAAGUUCCGACCUGCACGAAUGGCGUAAUGAUGGCCAGGCUGUCUCCACCCGAGACUCAGUGAAAUUGAACUCGCUGUGAAGAUGCAGUGUACCCGCGGCAAGACGGAAAGACCCCGUGAACCUUUACUAUAGCUUGACACUGAACAUUGAGCCUUGAUGUGUAGGAUAGGUGGGAGGCUUUGAAGUGUGGACGCCAGUCUGCAUGGAGCCGACCUUGAAAUACCACCCUUUAAUGUUUGAUGUUCUAACGUUGGCCCCUGAUCGGGGUUGCGGACAGUGUCUGGUGGGUAGUUUGACUGGGGCGGUCUCCUCCUAAAGAGUAACGGAGGAGCACGAAGGUUGGCUAAUCCUGGUCGGACAUCAGGAGGUUAGUGCAAUGGCAUAAGCCAGCUUGACUGCGAGCGUGACGGCGCGAGCAGGUGCGAAAGCAGGUCAUAGUGAUCCGGUGGUUCUGAAUGGAAGGGCCAUCGCUCAACGGAUAAAAGGUACUCCGGGGAUAACAGGCUGAUACCGCCCAAGAGUUCAUAUCGACGGCGGUGUUUGGCACCUCGAUGUCGGCUCAUCACAUCCUGGGGCUGAAGUAGGUCCCAAGGGUAUGGCUGUUCGCCAUUUAAAGUGGUACGCGAGCUGGGUUUAGAACGUCGUGAGACAGUUCGGUCCCUAUCUGCCGUGGGCGCUGGAGAACUGAGGGGGGCUGCUCCUAGUACGAGAGGACCGGAGUGGACGCAUCACUGGUGUUCGGGUUGUCAUGCCAAUGGCACUGCCCGGUAGCUAAAUGCGGAAGAGAUAAGUGCUGAAAGCAUCUAAGCACGAAACUUGC